RNAcentral lists this ribosomal RNA (442 nucleotides) under uncultured bacterium. Its description in RNAcentral is "bacterial SSU rRNA". It matches the Rfam family "Bacterial small subunit ribosomal RNA", at positions 29 to 507 of the family's 1533-position model. The record is from RNAcentral.
AACGAACGCUGGCGGCAGGCCUAACACAUGCAAGUCGAACGUGAAGCCACCUUCGGGUGGUGGAAAGUGGCAGACGGGUGAGUAACGCGUGGGAACCUACCUGGUAGUACGGAAUAACUCAGAGAAAUUUGGGCUAAUGCCGUAUACGCCCCUAGGGGGAAAGAUUUAUCGCUAUCAGAUGGGCCCGCGUUGGAUUAGCUAGUUGGUGGGUAACUGCCUACCAAGGCUACGAUCCAUAGCUGGUCUGAGAGGAUGAUCAGCCACACUGGGACUGAGACACGGCCCAGACUCCUACGGGAGGCAGCAGUGGGGAAUAUUGGACAAUGGGCGCAAGCCUGAUCCAGCCAUGCCGCGUGAGUGAAGAAGGCCCUAGGGUUGUAAAGCUCUUUCACCGGUGAAGAUAAUGACGGUAACCGGAGAAGAAGCCCCGGCUAACUUCGUG